Molecule: ribosomal RNA, 1527 nt
Filed under: Triticum aestivum (bread wheat)
Lineage: Eukaryota; Viridiplantae; Streptophyta; Magnoliopsida; Poales; Poaceae
Description: partial small subunit ribosomal RNA
Source: RNAcentral
AUGGCCGACCACCGCGCCUCGGUCAAUUCCCCCGGCGACGCCUCCCCCUGGCCGGCGUCGAUUCUCCUCGCCCAGGAGGCGUACGUCGCCGUCAGCAGGAACCACACCACGGCCACAGCCAAAUCGAGGGUCGACCAUACCGUGGAGGUCACCUUCUGGAUCGCCGACCCACCGGCGGUGUCCUUCUACACGUUCCACUGCUCCAAGCCCCCCAUCUCCGACUCUGAGGACGCCGACUUGGAAGUUCAGCCACACGUGGUUGACGCGGAGGGCCGAUUCGUUCUUAUCCGCACCUCUUUUGCUUCCGGCGACGGCGAGUAUGAAUUCUUCAUCUACAAGGGCGACCCCAGGAUCAAGGAGCUGCUCAACCCAUGUCCUGGGGUCCUUACGAUUGCACCCGACAAGGCCAUGUUGCUCCGAGAUGGCGUGCUGGUGUGGGUCGAUUUGCUGCACGGCAUGUUGGUGUGUGACAUACUUCAAGAACGAGAACCCCUUCGUGCGCGCUACAUCCCAUUGCCUGAGCCAUUGCCUAGAAACAGAGAAGAAAUUUUGAAGCAGUUAAUCCCGGGAGCUGGCGUCAGGCGUAUUCGGGAUGUUGCCUAUGUCGAUGGUCUGAUCAAGUUUGUUGAGAUGGAACACCGCGUCACUGUAACAGAGAUUGUAGAGGUUCCUCCUGAAAAGCCGUCUGACCCCAGGGACAAGACUGUCCUCUAUGAUUCUGACUUGAUCAUGCUCUACAAGCGUAAACAUGUGGACAACAUACCCAAGACGCUGCGCACAAUGAAUGGUUGGAGUGCCAUGACAUGGACUAGGGAGAUUGGGUCUGACUGUUGGCUCAAGGGAGUCAUUGUUGAUGUUGAUGACAUUUUGGUCGAUGACUCCGCGUUUUCGGUCUUACUGUCUGGCCAAAGGAAUGAAUCCGCUGGGAGCUUGACAUUCAAGAACAUGUACUCGGCUUGCUCCAUCCUGAGUACAGAUGGUAAUGAUAUCCUUUACCUCAAGUUAUCCAGGAAAUGGAGUGAUCGAUCUGGAUGGGUGGUUGCUGUUGACCUUGAAGAGAAUACACUGAAAGUGGAAGCACCUGGGGCGCACCCAUUUGGAAGAUAUUCUCCUUUCGCGGCAAACAUUCCUUCCCUGCGCAUUGGUGAACCAUCUAAAAAUGACUCCUGGCUAUUGGCUGAGAAAGCCAACCAUGCACAAGAUUUAGCUCAGAGUACUGUACGGAAUGUUCAUAGCUCACAGGCUUGUCCUGAUCAAAACAAUAUGCCUCCACAACCAUGCUUCAACAGAUGGGAGGCGCCUGGCUACCGUGGGUACUCAUCAUGCCCCCCUCAAAACAAUCCGCCGCUGCCACAAUGUUUCAACAAGUUCACUGGACCCUGCAACCCUGUGUGUGCACCGUCGGCCCCUGCCCCUAACAUACGUAGCUACGACAAUUAUCAUUCGCUGUGGCAGCACCCACUGCUACCGGAGCAGCAGAUGGCACCUAGCAGGGCAUUUGGACCUCAUGUGGCACCCCAUCCAUAG